GAGGGGGCUAGCGUUGUUCGGAAUUACUGGGCGUAAAGCGCACGUACGCGGAUCAGAAAGUUGGGGGUGAAAUCCCGGGGCUCAACCUCGGAACUGCCUUCAAAACUAUUGGUCUUGAGUUCGAGAGAGGUGAGUGGAAUUCCGAGUGUAGAGGUGAAAUUCGUAGAUAUUCGGAGGAACACCAGUGGCGAAGGCGGCUCACUGGCUCGAUACUGACGCUGAGGUGCGAAAGCGUGGGGAGCAAACAGGAUUAGAUACC
Molecule: ribosomal RNA, 259 nt
Filed under: uncultured Rhodobacterales bacterium
Lineage: Bacteria; Pseudomonadati; Pseudomonadota; Alphaproteobacteria; Rhodobacterales
Description: partial 16S ribosomal RNA
Rfam family: Bacterial small subunit ribosomal RNA
Source: RNAcentral